Long non-coding RNA from Serinus canaria (Common canary), 262 nucleotides. RefSeq lists it as uncharacterized. Lineage: Eukaryota; Metazoa; Chordata; Aves; Passeriformes; Fringillidae. The transcript is spliced from 2 exons. The record is from RefSeq and is a predicted model, not a curated record.
UCCCCCCGCAGCUCCCGAGCCGCCGAGCCGCCCGACGCCAGUGACGUCAUCCUCGGGCUGAUCCGGGAGCUCUCCGACCUCAACCGCCUGGCCAUGGGUGCCCGCCGAGGGCUGGAGCUGCUGCUGAGGAGGCCGCGGGCACAGCGGGCACAGCGGGCACGGAGGGCACGGAGGGCAGCACCCGCUGGAAGCCGCUGGAAGGAGGGGUAGGGAUGGAAAAAAAUUGGGAUUUAUUGGGGGAAUAAAUCGAGGUUGGUCUGGA